Small nuclear RNA from Ochotona curzoniae (black-lipped pika), 107 nucleotides. The record is from RefSeq and is a predicted model, not a curated record. Lineage: Eukaryota; Metazoa; Chordata; Mammalia; Lagomorpha; Ochotonidae.
GUGCUUGCCUUGGCAGCACACAUUAAAAAAAUUGGGAUGAUACAGAGAAAAUUAGCAUGGCCCCUGUUCAAGGAUGAUGAAAAAUGAAUGCAAUAUGAUAUGAACUU